GAGUCUACAGGUGGCUGCCAUGGGUGACCUAAUUUCAGUUGUCUGUUUCAUUCCCUCGAGCUAAAGAUGUAGCCAGCAUCCAAAAACGAGCCGAGCUGUAAGAUAAUCUAUCUUUUUAACGUUAUGGUUCAUACGAUCUAAGACACUUGAGCUGGCUGGAGCACCAGGAAGGCGAAGGGCUUCCCCGGUUCUAGUUUCGGGUCUCAAUUCCCUCCGGAAGAGGACACCGGCUGGGCAACCGGGCCCGUGGGGACUGCGGGAACUGCAGGGACUGUGGGGACCUCCCACCCUGACUCCUGAGGCGCCUCUCGGCCCAGCUCUAGCACAGCAGCCUGCAGCUCGGCUGGGUGACUGCUGCGAUCCCCAUGGGAACCGCGCCGGUUGGGCGGGGCCGCCCUCCGCCCUGCUGUACCCGCAGCCACUUGGCCGGGUCCCUGACCCCGCGCUGCAGGUCCAGAGGGUUUAAAUCGUGGAAAUCACAGCAUGGAGAGUUUGCAGGGAGAACGCCUGCUCCCAGGCUGUCCUAGCAGCCUGCUCGGGCUAGGGUGACCAGGUCCAUACCUUAUUACGUCCACUCCUUGGUGUCCGUUCCUCGCCUGUGAACCCCGGAGGACAGCAAUUGCUCGGUGCUGCAGCUUCGAAAAAUGAAUGAGAGAGAGUGAGGCAAUAGAGGGAGGCAGGAUGGCCUUCCCUCCCAUGUAGUGGGGUCUUGGCGGUGCAGAGCCUGCUUUGAUUGCCUUGACUCUUUCCCCAAUCACCUUCUUAUUGAACCUGUUUCAGUACAGUGACAGUGGCAGUUGAUGGAUGCAGGAAAUCUUGAAAUAAGGAUCGCACAGACAGCCUCUACAUUUUGUCAGCCCUUCCAUCCCCUAUGCUAGGCGCCGAGGUGCUUGUGUGCUGGCGGCAGGGCUACAGCAGAGAAAACGCACGAUGUGAAACCUGGCCAACCCGGGGCAAGGAACGUGCGAUGCAAAUGUACACAGAGCUCAAGAGGAAGCUGGGUCUGGGCAUACCGAGCGUGACGGCUGCCUGGCAAAGGGUAGAGGUAUAAUGAGUUACUAGAAUAGACUCGUGGUGGUCUGGGACCCUCCCCAGAAAUCAUGUGCAAAUGUGAAUGCCUACUCUUUUUGACUUUUGUCUUCUCGAUAGCUUUGCCUUGCCCAGAAUAUCGCGUACAUGGAAACAUACAGUGCACAGCUUUUAUUGAGUCAGAUUCUCACUUCACAGAAUACAUCUGAGAGCCACACACAUCUUGCAUUUAGCAGCAGUGUCUUCCUGUUUAUUGCCGGGUAGCGUUCUGUUGUAUGAACGUACUGACUGGUAUUUAUUUGUUUAUUCAAUCCUGGUUGAAGGAUAUUUGGAUUGUUUCCAGUGUGGGGUGAUUAUACAUGAAGCCGCUAUAGACGCCGUGCAUGGUGCUUUCUGUGAAGCCAGGUCUUCAUUUUUCUUGGGGAAAUCCUUAGCGGGAGACCUCUGCACAUUGAGCUUAUCUUUUCCAUUUUACCUUCCCACCUGCAAUGUCCCCAGUGCCCGGCAUCCUUGCGGUCCUUUUGGCUUUAACUAUUUUUUAAAAAUAUUUAUUUAUCUAUUAUUACAUGUAAGUACACUGUAGCUGUCUUCAGACACUCCAGAAGAGGGCGUCAGGUCUCAUUACGGAUGGUUGUGAGCUACCAUGUGGUUGCUGGGAUUUGAACUCAGGACCUAUGGAAGAGCAGUCAGCUCUCUUAACUGCUGAGCCAUCUCACCAGCGGAUUUAGCUAUUAAAAUAGAUGGUUAAUGGCUUCUAAUGGUUUUAAUAUGAAUUUGACUUUUAACCUUCCCUAUAGAUGUGUUCUCGCUUCAGGAUUCUAAGAGACUUAUGGAAAUUUUUUGGCGCCAACACCUCUCUCUUCCCCAGUGGGCUGCAGUUCUCACUUGGGACAUGGCAAAAGGCAGAAGGACAAACAAACAAACAAACAAAACCCCUCUAGUUGAUUGAAUUAAGUACAAGAUGGCGAUCUUAUUACUAAUUUCCAUACUUGGGUGGAGCUCAGGACCCUGUGCUCGCCAGGUAGGUGCCCCCAGUGGGAGACAGGAUUGCUGUUAUUGUUCCUGUCUCUGACAAUGUUCUCCUUCACCUUUUAAGAGAGUUGUUUAUAGGGACCACCAAGUAGGGACAUUUUGAUUUUUCUUUAUCACUUUCUCUUUUCACUGGGUAGGUUCUUCUGUGUGAUGGCAAGACCACACUGCUCUGAGUUGUUAUUGAAAGCAGUCUUAUGCUAGUAAGCACAUUGGUGGUUAAUUGUUUAUUCACUUAUUCACUUACGCUUGCUGUAGGCAGCCUCUAAGAGGACGCUUAAUGACCUGCCUCCUGACAGCUAUGCCCUUGUGGGCCUUCUUGAGCUUUGCUCACUCUGUCCUUUUUUUCACGAGAAGCUUUUAACUGUCUUCAGGUUAUAUAGGUAUAUAAAGUAAGCUUACAAGUCAAACGUUUUCUAAAAUUAAAUCAUGAAAAAAUUAUUUUUAAAAUAAUUCUUGGAGAGCCAGGACUAGUGACAUAUUCGUGUAAAUCUAACACUUGGGAGCUAAAGGUAGGAGGACCAGGAAGGUUAAAGUCUAUUCCCAGGCCUCACAGGCAGUUCAAGCCAGCCUAGAUCCUGUCUCAAAAAAAUACCACCCCUUAUGCACCUCUCUCUCUCUCUCUUUCCCUCUCUCUUUUUCUCUCUCUCAUACACACUAAUUCUUUGGUGUCUAUAUAAUUUUAUCACUUAUUAAAAACAAAAUGAAUAUGCUCGUUUUUCUUCCUAUAAAGAACAUUUGAUGUUGCAAGAGUAUCUUUGUUUUUAAGAGUUGACCAAUUCAGCUGGGUGUGGUGGUGCACGCCUUUAAUCCCAGCACUUGGGAGGCAGAGGCAGGCGGAUUUCUGAGUCUGAGGCCAGCCUGGUUUACAAAGUGAGUUCCAGGACAGCCAGGGCUAUACAGAGAAAACCCUGUCUCGAAAAACCAAAAAAAAAGAAAAAAAAAAAAAGUUGACCAAUUCCUUGAUUUUAUAAUACUUGGCACCAAAACAGUAUAACUAUGAUAUACAGAACCGCAGUAGCAUACUUAGGGACAUUAAAAAAUUCUUGGAAAAUUUGUUCUAAACCCCAAGCCAAAAUUCAUUUAAUAGAU
Molecule: long non-coding RNA, 3150 nt
Filed under: Mus musculus (house mouse)
Lineage: Eukaryota; Metazoa; Chordata; Mammalia; Rodentia; Muridae
Description: long non-coding RNA chr12:69790354-69793504
Source: RNAcentral